AACGAACGCUGGCGGCAGGCCUAACACAUGCAAGUCGAGCGCCCUCGCGAGGGGGAGCGGCGGACGGGUGAGUAACGCGUGGGAACGUGCCUCUUGCUUCGGAGUAGCCUCGGGAAACUGGGGGUAAUACCGAAUGUGCCCUACGCGGGUAAGAUUUAUCGGCAAGAGAUCGGCCCGCGUUGGAUUAGGUAGUUGGUGUGGUAAUGGCCUACCAAGCCGACGAUCCAUAGCUGGUUUGAGAGGAUGAUCAGCCACACUGGGACUGAGACACGGCCCAGACUCCUACGGGAGGCAGCAGUGGGGAAUCUUAGACAAUGGGCGCAAGCCUGAUCUAGCCAUGCCGCGUGAGCGAUGAAGGCCUUAGGGUUGUAAAGCUCUUUCGUGGGGGAAGAUAAUGACUGUACCCCAAGAAGAAGCCCCGGCUAACUCCGUGCCAGCAGCCGCGGUAA
This 449-nucleotide ribosomal RNA is filed under the name uncultured bacterium. RNAcentral's name for it is "partial 16S ribosomal RNA". It matches the Rfam family "Bacterial small subunit ribosomal RNA", at positions 29 to 523 of the family's 1533-position model. The record is from RNAcentral.